GAGAUUGAUCCUGGCUUAGGACGAACGCUGGCGGCGUGCUUAACACAUGCAAGUCGAACGAAAAGACGGAAAGAGCUUGCUCUUUCCGGAAUUGAGUGGCAAACGGGUGAGUAACACGUAAACAACCUGCCUUCAGGAUGGGGACAACAGACGGAAACGACUGCUAAUACCGAAUAAGUUCCAAGAGCCGCAUGGCCCAUGGAAGAAAAGGUGGCCUCUACCUGUAAGCUAUCGCCUGAAGAGGGGUUUGCGUCUGAUUAGCUGGUUGGAGGGGUAACGGCCCACCAAGGCGACGAUCAGUAGCCGGUCUGAGAGGAUGAACGGCCACACUGGAACUGAGACACGGUCCAGACUCCUACGGGAGGCAGCAGUGGGGAAUCUUCCGCAAUGGGCGAAAGCCUGACGGAGCAACGCCGCGUGAGUGAUGACGGCCUUCGGGUUGUAAAACUCUGUGAUCCGGGACGAAAAGGCAGAGUGCGAAGAACAAACUGCAUUGACGGUACCGGAAAAGCAAGCCACGGCUAACUACGUGCCAGCCGCCGCGGUAAUUC
This 551-nucleotide ribosomal RNA is filed under the name uncultured bacterium. RNAcentral's name for it is "bacterial SSU rRNA". It matches the Rfam family "Bacterial small subunit ribosomal RNA", at positions 9 to 526 of the family's 1533-position model. The record is from RNAcentral.